AUCUUCCUUCUUCUCCUCAAGCCGAUCUCUCUCAUUUCGUAAGCUUAAGAUUUCCACCGUAAGCCUUCAAGAAAAAUCGACCUGGUAAGUGAAUUCUAUGGCUCUAAUCUCUAGUUGAAGCCUUGGAUUUAUGGGUUUAACCUAGGGUUUCUUUUUGAAAUUUUCUGCCAUGUAUCAGCUUUGGGUCUUUCGGAUUCCCUCUUUUUGCUUAUCUGCUGUGUUCUGUGGCUUGAAAAGGGGAUCAAAACAGGUAUGAACGAUGAGGCUGGGGAGCUAGGCACUACUGAGGAGGGAGGGGCUGAAGCUUAGAAUUCCCUGUCGGUUCAAUUUUAAUGAUAAUGGUUAUGUCUUUAUGUUUCUAUGAUGGGUCCCAUGUUGGGACGUUUUGUUGGUUUGACUUUAAUACAAUAUGUCCUUGGGUAUGAUGUAAGUACUAUGGUGGGGUGAUGGUAAUGAUGUAACUUCUAUAGUGGGGUGACGGUAACCCCACUAUAGAAGGUUAAAUGCCUUUUUGUAUGUGUUAUGAGGACGGAGUCCCCUUUUUAUUGGAACUAGUGAUGUUUUAAAUAAAUGAAUGAUGGACUCGGAGAGUCCUUUGGGUAAUA
This is a long non-coding RNA of Juglans microcarpa x Juglans regia, 605 nucleotides long. RefSeq lists it as uncharacterized. Lineage: Eukaryota; Viridiplantae; Streptophyta; Magnoliopsida; Fagales; Juglandaceae. The transcript has 2 exons. The record is from RefSeq and is a predicted model, not a curated record.